ACAAAGCGGAUAGCAGGAUUCUUGUAGUCCGACAAUGCUGCAAUCCGCCAUAUUGAGAAAACCACACCCUUUUUUAACAUUGUCUCUUAUGGAAGUAUUUUUCAAAGUGUUUUUUCUCUUAACUGGAUAACAACUUCGACCAAAGAAAAAUAUUAAAAAAUACUACAUCAUUCAGAUUGUCAUGAGUGACGAGGUAUUGGUGGAAAAUGCUGUAAUCCAAUUAUUCGACCUCUCCAACUGCCAACCGAGGCAAAAGAACGCUAUCUUUCGAAGUUGACAAGCAUCUUAUGCCAGAAUGAUCAAUCAAAUUUCCCAAUGUGAAUUUGCUGCCACAAAAUCCUUGAGGUACUGUGAAAUGAACACUGCAGAGCGUUAACACCAUGAUGACCUUUACAACCACAUUGAAGAAGGAAUUUUGUCAGCUCAAAAAGACAUUGAAGCAAUCAAGAAGGAGUUGCAUGAAGCAAGACAGAUUCGUAGGAAUAAAAUGGAAUAUGAUGCUUUGGCUGCCAUUAUUCAAACACAGCCUGAUCGAAAG
Molecule: long non-coding RNA, 538 nt
Organism: Daphnia pulex (common water flea)
Lineage: Eukaryota; Metazoa; Arthropoda; Branchiopoda; Diplostraca; Daphniidae
Exons: 3
Source: RefSeq, a predicted model, not a curated record